This is a long non-coding RNA of Asparagus officinalis (garden asparagus), 381 nucleotides long. RefSeq lists it as uncharacterized. The transcript has 2 exons. NCBI's taxonomy places the organism in Eukaryota, Viridiplantae, Streptophyta, Magnoliopsida, Asparagales, Asparagaceae. The record is from RefSeq and is a predicted model, not a curated record.
CGGAAAUCGGGGAUAUAUCGGGGGACAUGAAAAAAAUAUCGGAUUGCCAUAUCGGAUAGGUUGAUAUAAUAUCAUAAAUGGAAUCUUCACAUACUUGAUAAUUAUAUUGUCUAAACAUAUGAAAAAGUACAUAUGAGAAGGUCUUCAUUUUCACAAGCAACCACCAAGUUUUUGCUUUUGCAUAGAAAACCAAAUAGACACUAGAACAGCUUAACUGCAUAUGUUUAGACAAUUCUUAUUAAAGUAUAAUAAUUAUCCAGAAUAUAAAAAUUACUAAUACAAUUCUUUAUACACAACUUUAUUUAUUAAUGUAAAGAUUUAUUAAUUGUUCAAUUUAAGAAUUUAUGUUAUUAUAAAAGUCACUUCAUAAUUUUACACUAA